Molecule: ribosomal RNA, 497 nt
Filed under: uncultured bacterium
Lineage: Bacteria
Description: partial 16S ribosomal RNA
Rfam family: Bacterial small subunit ribosomal RNA
Source: RNAcentral
GAUGAACGCUGGCGGCGUGCCUAAUACAUGCAAGUCGAGCGAACAGACGAUGAGCUUGCUCCUCUGACGUUAGCGGCGGACGGGUGAGUAACACGUGGAUAACCUACCUAUAAGACUGGGAUAACUUCGGGAAACCGGAGCUAAUACCGGAUAAUAUAUUGAACCGCAUGGUUCAAUAGUUAAAGACGGUUUUGCUGUCACUUAUAGAUGGAUCCGCGCCGCAUUAGCUAGUUGGUAAGGUAACGGCUUACCAAGGCGACGAUGCGUAGCCGACCUGAGAGGGUGAUCGGCCACACUGGAACUGAGACACGGUCCAGACUCCUACGGGAGGCAGCAGUAGGGAAUCUUCCGCAAUGGGCGAAAGCUUGACGGAGCAACGCCGCGUGAGUGAUGAAGGUCUUCGGAUCGUAAAACUCUGUUAUUAGGGAAGAACAAAUGUGUAAGUAACUAUGCACGUCUUGACGGUACCUAAUCAGAAAGCCACGGCUAACUACGUG